UACGAAGGGGACUAGCGUUGUUCGGAUUUACUGGGCGUAAAGCGCGCGUAGGCGGAUCGCUAAGUCAGGGGUGAAAUCCCAGGGCUCAACCCUGGAACUGCCUUUGAUACUGACGGUCUGGAGAUCGGGAGAGGUUGGUGGAAUGCUUGGUGUAGAGGUGAAAUUCGUAGAUAUCAAGCGGAACACCGGUGGCGAAGGCGGCCUUCUGGACAGUGACUGACGCUGAGACGCGAAAGCGUGGGGAGCAAACAGG
This 253-nucleotide ribosomal RNA is filed under the name uncultured bacterium. RNAcentral's name for it is "partial 16S ribosomal RNA". It matches the Rfam family "Bacterial small subunit ribosomal RNA", at positions 524 to 776 of the family's 1533-position model. The record is from RNAcentral.